Molecule: ribosomal RNA, 415 nt
Filed under: Dyscritulus planiceps
Lineage: Eukaryota; Metazoa; Arthropoda; Insecta; Hymenoptera; Braconidae
Description: partial 16S ribosomal RNA
Source: RNAcentral
UUACGCUGUUAUCCCUAAGGUAAUUUAUUUUUUUAAUCUAAAAUUUAAGAUUAAUAAUUCAUUAAUUUAUGUUUUUAUAAUAAAAAUUAAUUAAAUUUUAUAAUUACCCCAAUUAAAUUUUUAAAUAAAUAUUUAAAUUUAUUAAUAAAUUUUAAAAUAAUUAAAAAUAAAAUUCUAUAGGGUCUUCUCGUCUUUUAAUAAAAUUUAAGAAUUUUUACUUAAAUUUUAAUUUUAAUUAUUAAUUUUAUUUAUAUAGUAUAUAUUUCAUUCAAUCUUUCAUUCUAGUUGUCAAUUAAAAAACGAAUUAUUAUGCUACCUUUGUACAGUUAAAAAUACUGCAGCCAUAAAAAAUUUAUCAUCGGGCAGAUUAGACUGAGAAUUAUAAUCAAUAAGACAUGUUUUUGUUAAACAGGCG